This 496-nucleotide ribosomal RNA is filed under the name uncultured bacterium. RNAcentral's name for it is "partial 16S ribosomal RNA". It matches the Rfam family "Bacterial small subunit ribosomal RNA", at positions 29 to 507 of the family's 1533-position model. The record is from RNAcentral.
AUGAACGCUGGCGGCGUGCCUAAUACAUGCAAGUCGAGCGAACGGACGAGAAGCUUGCUUCUCUGAUGUUAGCGGCGGACGGGUGAGUAACACGUGGAUAACCUACCUAUAAGACUGGGAUAACUUCGUGAAACCGGAGCUAAUACCGGAUGAUAUUUUGAACCGCAUGGUUCAAAAGUGAAAGACGGUCUUGCUGUCACUUAUAGAUGGAUCCGCGCUGCAUUAGCUAGUUGGUAAGGUAACGGCUUACCAAGGCAACGAUGCAUAGCCGACCUGAGAGGGUGAUCGGCCACACUGGAACUGAGACACGGUCCAGACUCCUACGGGAGGCAGCAGUAGGGAAUCUUCCGCAAUGGGCGAAAGCCUGACGGAGCAACGCCGCGUGAGUGAUGAAGGUCUUCGGAUCGUAAAACUCUGUUAUUAGGGAAGAACAUAUGUGUAAGUAACUGUGCACAUCUUGACGGUACCUAAUCAGAAAGCCACGGCUAACUACGUG